This 201-nucleotide ribosomal RNA is filed under the name uncultured Torulaspora. RNAcentral describes it as "partial 26S ribosomal RNA". It matches the Rfam family "Eukaryotic large subunit ribosomal RNA", at positions 30 to 231 of the family's 3401-position model. The record is from RNAcentral. Lineage: Eukaryota; Fungi; Ascomycota; Saccharomycetes; Saccharomycetales; Saccharomycetaceae.
AAACUUGCAUAUCAUUAAGCGGAGGAAAACAAACCAACCGGGAUUGCCUUAGUAACGGCGAGUGAAGCGGCAAAAGCUCAAAUUUGAAAUCUGGUACCUUCGGUGCCCGAGUUGUAAUUUGUAGAAGGCGACUUUGGGGCUGGUCCUUGUCUAUGUUCCUUGGAACAGGACGUCAUAGAGGGUGAGAAUCCCGUGUGGCGA